Molecule: small nuclear RNA, 100 nt
Filed under: Zalophus californianus (California sea lion)
Lineage: Eukaryota; Metazoa; Chordata; Mammalia; Carnivora; Otariidae
Also listed under: 1 other name
Source: RNAcentral
AGCACAUGUGCUAAAUGCUAAAAUUGGAAAGACACAGAGAAGAUUAGCAUGGCCCCUGCACAAGGAUGACAUGCAAAUUCAUGAAACACUCCAUAUUUUU